GCGGGGGUACCCGAGCCAGGUCUAAGGGGCGGGGUUCAGGUCCCCGUGCCGCAGGGCUUCGUGGGUUCAAAUCCCACCCCCCGCA
Molecule: transfer RNA, 85 nt
Filed under: Candidatus Bathyarchaeota archaeon
Lineage: Archaea; Thermoproteati; Candidatus Bathyarchaeota
Also listed under: 1 other name
Description: tRNA-Leu
Rfam family: tRNA
About the family: Transfer RNA (tRNA) molecules are approximately 80 nucleotides in length. Their secondary structure includes four short double-helical elements and three loops (D, anti-codon, and T loops).
Source: RNAcentral